GAUGAAGAACGUAGCGAAAUGCGAUACGUAAUGUGAAUUGCAGAAUCCAGUGAAUCAUCGAAUCUUUGAACGCACAUUGCGCCCGCCAGUAUUCUGGCGGGCAUGCCUGUCCGAGCGUCAUUUCAACCCUCGAACCCCUCCGGGGGGUCGGCGUUGGGGAUCGGCCCUUUCACCGGGUGCCGGCCCCUAAAUACAGUGGCGGUCUCGCCGCAGCCUCUCAUGCGCAGUAGUUUGCACACUCGCACCGGGAGCGCGGCGCGUCCUCGUCCGUAAAACACCCCAAACUUCUGAAAUGUUGACCUCGGAUCAGGUAGGAAUACCCGCUGAACUUAAGCAUAUCAAUAAGCGGAGGA
RNAcentral lists this unclassified non-coding RNA (353 nucleotides) under soil metagenome. Its description in RNAcentral is "partial contains 5.8S ribosomal RNA, internal transcribed spacer 2, and large subunit ribosomal RNA". The stretch from base 1 to 120 matches the Rfam family "5.8S ribosomal RNA", at positions 35 to 154 of the family's 154-position model. The record is from RNAcentral.